RNAcentral lists this ribosomal RNA (1012 nucleotides) under uncultured bacterium. Its description in RNAcentral is "bacterial SSU rRNA". It matches the Rfam family "Bacterial small subunit ribosomal RNA", at positions 355 to 1375 of the family's 1533-position model. The record is from RNAcentral.
UGGGGAAUAUUGCACAAUGGGCGCAAGCCUGAUGCAGCGACGCCGCGUGCGGGAUGACGGCCUUCGGGUUGUAAACCGCUUUUGAUCGGGAGCAAGCCUUCGGGUGAGUGUACCUUUCGAAUAAGCACCGGCUAACUACGUGCCAGCAGCCGCGGUAAUACGUAGGGUGCAAGCGUUAUCCGGAAUUAUUGGGCGUAAAGGGCUCGUAGGCGGUUCGUCGCGUCCGGUGUGAAAGUCCAUCGCUUAACGGUGGAUCUGCGCCGGGUACGGGCGGGCUGGAGUGCGGUAGGGGAGACUGGAAUUCCCGGUGUAACGGUGGAAUGUGUAGAUAUCGGGAAGAACACCAAUGGCGAAGGCAGGUCUCUGGGCCGUUACUGACGCUGAGGAGCGAAAGCGUGGGGAGCGAACAGGAUUAGAUACCCUGGUAGUCCACGCCGUAAACGGUGGAUGCUGGAUGUGGGGCCCGUUCCGCGGGUUCCGUGUCGGAGCUAACGCGUUAAGCAUCCCGCCUGGGGAGUACGGCCGCAAGGCUAAAACUCAAAGAAAUUGACGGGGGCCCGCACAAGCGGCGGAGCAUGCGGAUUAAUUCGAUGCAACGCGAAGAACCUUACCUGGGCUUGACAUGUUCCCGACAGCCGUAGAGAUAUGGCCUCCCUUCGGGGCGGGUUCACAGGUGGUGCAUGGUCGUCGUCAGCUCGUGUCGUGAGAUGUUGGGUUAAGUCCCGCAACGAGCGCAACCCUCGCCCUGUGUUGCCAGCACGUCAUGGUGGGAACUCACGGGGGACCGCCGGGGUCAACUCGGAGGAAGGUGGGGAUGACGUCAGAUCAUCAUGCCCCUUACGUCCAGGGCUUCACGCAUGCUACAAUGGCCGGUACAACGGGAUGCGACACGGCGACGUGGAGCGGAUCCCUGAAAACCGGUCUCAGUUCGGAUUGGAGUCUGCAACCCGACUCCAUGAAGGCGGAGUCGCUAGUAAUCGCGGAUCAGCAACGCCGCGGUGAAUGCGUUCCC